AGGCGUAUGACGGGCCGGUAGCGGCGGUAAUCGGGAGGGUCCGGUCGGUGGCGGGAAUUAUUGGGCUUAAAGGGCUCGUAGGCGGUUUGUUGCGUCGGGAGUGAAAUCAUCGGGCUUAACUUGGUGCUUGCUUUCGAUACGGGCAGACUUGAGGCAUGCAGGGGAGAAUGGAAUUCCUGGUGUAGCGGUGAAAUGCGCAGAUAUCAGGAGGAACACCGGUGGCGAAGGCGGUUCUCUGGGCAUGUUCUGACGCUGAGGAGCGAAAGUGUGGGGAGCGAACAGGAUUAGAUACCCCAGUAC
This 300-nucleotide ribosomal RNA is filed under the name uncultured bacterium. RNAcentral describes it as "bacterial SSU rRNA". It matches the Rfam family "Bacterial small subunit ribosomal RNA", at positions 494 to 793 of the family's 1533-position model. The record is from RNAcentral.